Molecule: non-coding RNA, 186 nt
Organism: Hyaloperonospora arabidopsidis Emoy2
Lineage: Eukaryota; Oomycota; Peronosporomycetes; Peronosporales; Peronosporaceae
Source: Rfam
AUCACAUUGUGGAUGUUGACUUCCCUCGCGCAGAUCUUCAUGCUCGUAAGAUUAUAUAACCUUGAUCGAUAGGUCUGGGUAAUCUUUUGAAUGCGCAUCAUGAUAGGGAUAGACUGUUGCAAUUUUCAGUCUUGAACGAGGAAUUCCUAGUAACGCAAGUCAUCAGCUUGCAUUGAUUACGUCCCU